GACGAACGCUGGCGGCGUGCUUAACACAUGCAAGUCGAACGAUGAAGAAAAGAAUUGCAGCUUCGGCAGAAAUUCAUUUCGGAUUAGUGGCAGACGGGUGAGUAACGCGUGAGCAACCUACCUCUUACAAAGGGAUAGCCUCGGGAAACCGGGAUUAAUACCAUAUAACAUUGCGACGAAGCAUUUCGAUGCAAUCAAAGCUACGGCGGUAAGAGAUGGGCUCGCGUCCCAUUAACCAGAUGGUGAGGUAACGGCUCACCAUAGUAACGAUGGGUAACCGGCCUGAGAGGGUGAACGGUCACACUGGAACUGAGACACGGUCCAGACUCCUACGGGAGGCAGCAGUGGGGAAUAUUGCACAAUGGAGGGAACUCUGAUGCAGCGACGCCGCGUGAGUGAUGAAGGAAUUCGUUUCGUAAAACUCUGUUCUAUGGGAAGAAAAGGACUGUACCAUAGGAGAAAGCUCCGGCUAAAUACGUG
This 480-nucleotide ribosomal RNA is filed under the name uncultured bacterium. RNAcentral describes it as "partial 16S ribosomal RNA". It matches the Rfam family "Bacterial small subunit ribosomal RNA", at positions 28 to 507 of the family's 1533-position model. The record is from RNAcentral.